AUACGGAGGGGGCUAGCGUUGUUCGGAAUUACUGGGCGUAAAGCGCACGUAGGCGGCUUUGUAAGUCAGAGGUGAAAGCCUGGAGCUCAACUCCAGAACUGCCUUUGAGACUGCAUCGCUUGAAUCCAGGAGAGGUCAGUGGAAUUCCGAGUGUAGAGGUGAAAUUCGUAGAUAUUCGGAAGAACACCAGUGGCGAAGGCGGCUGACUGGACUGGUAUUGACGCUGAGGUGCGAAAGCGAGGGGAGCAAACAGGAUUAGAAACCCCAGUAGUCC
RNAcentral lists this ribosomal RNA (274 nucleotides) under uncultured bacterium. RNAcentral describes it as "partial 16S ribosomal RNA". It matches the Rfam family "Bacterial small subunit ribosomal RNA", at positions 523 to 796 of the family's 1533-position model. The record is from RNAcentral.